UGGCAGUGUUCUCCAUUGGAAGAGAGACUUUUAAAACUGAAGGAGGAUAAGGAGGACUUCUAUCGCAAAGUGACGGAUGUUUUUGUGCAGAAGGAGCGACGCAUGGACUUCAUUUAUAAGUAAAGGUAAGACAGUAAUAACAUUUAUUUUGUUUUGUUUUUUAAGGAAAUGUGUGUUUUGUGAGCUACAGUUUGUAUGUGUAAGGAUGCAGAAGUGAAACAUAACCUGUAAACUGCUGUCAAUCUAUGCAUCUAUUUGCAAAUCUGAUUCUGAUGACGUCAGUGCCUCACCAGCUAUGAACCUCACCGCACGUCACUGUAACUAUA
Long non-coding RNA from Xiphophorus hellerii (green swordtail), 326 nucleotides. RefSeq lists it as uncharacterized. Lineage: Eukaryota; Metazoa; Chordata; Actinopteri; Cyprinodontiformes; Poeciliidae. The transcript is spliced from 3 exons. The record is from RefSeq and is a predicted model, not a curated record.